RNAcentral lists this microRNA precursor (58 nucleotides) under Eisenia fetida (common brandling worm). Its description in RNAcentral is "Efe-Mir-2000-P2_pre stem-loop". The record is from RNAcentral. Lineage: Eukaryota; Metazoa; Annelida; Clitellata; Crassiclitellata; Lumbricidae.
CUAAAAGUACAGCAGGCUUUAAGUAUAUGCAACGUUAAAGUCUUCUCUACUUUUAGUU